GUGUCAGCCGCCGCGGUAAUACGGAGGGUGCAAGCGUUAUCCGGAUUUAUUGGGUUUAAAGGGUCCGUAGGCGGAUGUGUAAGUCAGUGGUGAAAUCUCACAGCUUAACUGUGAAACUGCCAUUGAUACUGCAUGUCUUGAGUAAGGUAGAAGUGGCUGGAAUAAGUAGUGUAGCGGUGAAAUGCAUAGAUAUUACUUAGAACACCAAUUGCGAAGGCAGGUCACUAUGUCUUAACUGACGCUGAUGGACGAAAGCGUGGGGAGCGAACAGGAUUAGAUACCCUGGUAGUCCACGCUGUAAACGAUGCUUACUCGUUUUUGGGGAUUUAUCUUCAGAGACUAAGCGAAAGUGAUAAGUAAGCCACCUGGGGAGUACGAACGCAAGUUUGAAACUUAAAGGAAUUGACGGGG
RNAcentral lists this ribosomal RNA (411 nucleotides) under uncultured Chryseobacterium sp. RNAcentral describes it as "bacterial SSU rRNA". It matches the Rfam family "Bacterial small subunit ribosomal RNA", at positions 505 to 918 of the family's 1533-position model. The record is from RNAcentral. Lineage: Bacteria; Pseudomonadati; Bacteroidota; Flavobacteriia; Flavobacteriales; Weeksellaceae.